Molecule: ribosomal RNA, 305 nt
Filed under: uncultured bacterium
Lineage: Bacteria
Description: bacterial SSU rRNA
Rfam family: Bacterial small subunit ribosomal RNA
Source: RNAcentral
CUGUCCUACGGGGGGCAGCAGUGGGGAAUAUUGCACAAUGGGGGAAACCCUGAUGCAGCGACGCCGCGUGAGUGAAGAAGUAUUUCGGUAUGUAAAGCUCUAUCAGCAGGAACGAGACAAGACGGUACCUGACUAAGAAGCCCCGGCUAACUACGUGCCAGCAGCCGCGGUAAUACGUAGGGGGCAAGCGUUAUCCGGAUUUACUGGGUGUAAAGGGAGCGUAGACGGCAGAGCAAGUCUGAAGUGAAAGCCCGCGGCCCAACUGCGGGACUGCUUUGGAAACUGCCCGGCUAGAGUGCUGGAGG